This 253-nucleotide ribosomal RNA is filed under the name uncultured bacterium. RNAcentral describes it as "partial 16S ribosomal RNA". It matches the Rfam family "Bacterial small subunit ribosomal RNA", at positions 524 to 776 of the family's 1533-position model. The record is from RNAcentral.
UACGUAGGGGCAAGCGUUGUCCGGAUUUAUUGGGCGUAAAGAGCGUGUAGGCGGCUGGGUAGGUCCGUUGUGAAAACUCGAGGCUCAACCUCGAGACGCCGAUGGAAACCCUCCAGCUAGAGUCCGGAAGAGGAGAGUGGAAUUCCUGGUGUAGCGGUGAAAUGCGGCAGAUAUCAGGAAGAACACCCGUGGCUAAGGCGGCUCUCUAGUACGGUACUGACGCUGAGACGCGAAAGCGUGGGGAGCGAACAGG